Molecule: ribosomal RNA, 460 nt
Filed under: uncultured bacterium
Lineage: Bacteria
Description: partial 16S ribosomal RNA
Rfam family: Bacterial small subunit ribosomal RNA
Source: RNAcentral
CCUACGGGAGGCAGCAGUGAGGAAUAUUGGUCAAUGGACGAGAGUCUGAACCAGCCAAGUAGCGUGAAGGAUGACUGCCCUAUGGGUUGUAAACUUCUUUUAUAUGGGAAUAAAAUGUUCCACGUGUGGGAUUUUGUAUGUACCAUAUGAAUAAGGAUCGGCUAACUCCGUGCCAGCAGCCGCGGUAAUACGGAGGAUCCGAGCGUUAUCCGGAUUUAUUGGGUUUAAAGGGAGCGUAGGUGGAUUGUUAAGUCAGUUGUGAAAGUUUGCGGCUCAACCGUAAAAUUGCAGUUGAAACUGGCAGUCUUGAGUACAGGAGAGGUGGGCGGAAUGCGUGGUGUAGCGGUGAAAUGCUUAGAUAUCACGAAGAACUCCGAUUGCGAAGGCAGUUCACUGGACUGCAACUGACACUGAGGCUCGAAAGUGUGGGUAUCAAACAGGAUUAGAUACCCCGGUAGUC